RNAcentral lists this transfer RNA (74 nucleotides) under Fasciola hepatica (liver fluke). RNAcentral describes it as "tRNA-Thr". The record is from RNAcentral. Lineage: Eukaryota; Metazoa; Platyhelminthes; Trematoda; Plagiorchiida; Fasciolidae.
UCACUGUAGUUCAGAUGGUAGAAUAUUUGCCUGGUAAGCGAGAUGCCCACGGUUCAAUUUCGGGUCACAGUGUU